Molecule: ribosomal RNA, 468 nt
Filed under: uncultured bacterium
Lineage: Bacteria
Description: partial 16S ribosomal RNA
Rfam family: Bacterial small subunit ribosomal RNA
Source: RNAcentral
GACGAACGCUGGCGGCGCGCCUAACACAUGCAAGUCGAACGGAGUCAAGAGGAGCUUGCUUUUCUUGACUUAGUGGCGAACGGGUGAGUAACGCGUGAGUAACCUGCCCUGGAGUGGGGGACAACAGUUGGAAACGACUGCUAAUACCGCAUAAGCCCACGGAUCUGCAUGGAUCUGCGGGAAAAGGAUUUAUUCGCUCUAGGAUGGACUCGCGUCCAAUUAGCUAGUUGGUGAGGUAACGGCCCACCAAGGCGACGAUUGGUAGCCGGACUGUGAGGUUGAACGGCCACAUUGGGACUGAGACACGGCCCAGACUCCUACGGGAGGCAGCAGUGGGGGAUAUUGCACAAUGGGGGAAACACUGAUGCAGCGACGCCGCGUGGAGGAAGAAGGUGUUCGGAUUGUAAACUCCUGUCGUAAGGGACGAUAAUGACGGUACCUAACAAGAAAGCACCAGCUAACUACGUG